RNAcentral lists this ribosomal RNA (435 nucleotides) under uncultured bacterium. Its description in RNAcentral is "partial 16S ribosomal RNA". It matches the Rfam family "Bacterial small subunit ribosomal RNA", at positions 29 to 507 of the family's 1533-position model. The record is from RNAcentral.
AGCGAACGCUGGUGGCAGGCUUAACACAUGCCAGUCGAGCGGGCAUCUUCGGAUGUCAGCGGCAGACGGGUGAGUAACACGUGGGAACGUACCCUUCGGUUCGGAACAACUCUGGGAAACUGGAGCUAAUACCGGAUACGCCCUUAUGGGGAAAGGUUUACUGCCGAAGGAUCGGCCCGCGUCUGAUUAGCUAGUUGGUGGGGUAACGGCCUACCAAGGCGACGAUCAGUAGCUGGUCUGAGAGGAUGAUCAGCCACACUGGGACUGAGACACGGCCCAGACUCCUACGGGAGGCAGCAGUGGGGAAUAUUGGACAAUGGGCGCAAGCCUGAUCCAGCCAUGCCGCGUGAGUGAUGAAGGCCUUAGGGUUGUAAAGCUCUUUUGUCCGGGACGAUAAUGACGGUACCGGAAGAAUAAGCCCCGGCUAACUUCGUG